This 691-nucleotide ribosomal RNA is filed under the name Phlegmacium luteiaureum. Its description in RNAcentral is "eukaryotic LSU rRNA". The stretch from base 296 to 449 matches the Rfam family "5.8S ribosomal RNA". The record is from RNAcentral. Lineage: Eukaryota; Fungi; Basidiomycota; Agaricomycetes; Agaricales; Cortinariaceae.
UAGAGGAAGUAAAAGUCGUAACAAGGUUUCCGUAGGUGAACCUGCGGAAGGAUCAUUAUUGAAGUAAAUCUGAUAAGUUGCUGCUGGUUCUUUAGGGAGCAUGUGCACGCUUGUCAUCUUUAUAUCUCCACCUGUGCACCUUUUGUAGACCUGGAUAUCUUUCUAAGUGCUAGUCACUCAGGUUUGGGGACUGACUUUAUGUCUUUCCUUACAUUUCCAGGCCUAUGUUCCUACAUAUACCCAAAUGUAUGUUAUAGAAUGUAAUCAAAUGGCUUUUAUGCCUAUAAACCUAUACAACUUUCAGCAACGGAUCUCUUGGCUCUCGCAUCGAUGAAGAACGCAGCGAAAUGCGAUAAGUAAUGUGAAUUGCAGAAUUCAGUGAAUCAUCGAAUCUUUGAACGCACCUUGCGCUCCUUGGUAUUCCGAGGAGCAUGCCUGUUUGAGUGUCAUUAAUAUAUCAACCUCUUCAGCUUUUGGCUUGUUGAGUGUUGGAUGUGGGUGUGCUGGUCUUUUAAGGUCAGCUCCCCUGAAAUAUAUUAGCGGAACAAUUGUGACUGUUCAUUGGUGUGAUAACUAUCUACACUACUGAGCUGAAACAGUUCAGCUUCUAACAAUCCAUUUACUUGGAUAGAUUUUCAUUAAUGUGACCUCAAAUCAGGUAGGACUACCCGCUGAACUUAAGCAUAUCAAU